GACGAACGCUGGCGGCGUGCUUAACACAUGCAAGUCGAACGGAAAGGCCCUGCUUUUGUGGGGUGCUCGAGUGGCGAACGGGUGAGUAACACGUGAGUAACCUGCCCUUGACUUUGGGAUAACUUCAGGAAACUGGGGCUAAUACCGGAUAGGAGCUCCUGCUGCAUGGUGGGGGUUGGAAAGUUUCGGCGGUUGGGGAUGGACUCGCGGCUUAUCAGCUUGUUGGUGGGGUAGUGGCUUACCAAGGCUUUGACGGGUAGCCGGCCUGAGAGGGUGACCGGCCACAUUGGGACUGAGGUACGGCCCAGACUCCUACGGGAGGCAGGAGGGGGGAAUAUUGCACAAUGGGCGGAAGCCUGAUGCAGCAACGCCGCGUGCGGGAUGACGGCCUUCGGGUUGUAAACCGCUUUCGCCUGUGACGAAGCGUGAGUGACGGUAAUGGGUAAAGAAGCACCGGCUAACUACGUG
RNAcentral lists this ribosomal RNA (468 nucleotides) under uncultured bacterium. RNAcentral describes it as "partial 16S ribosomal RNA". It matches the Rfam family "Bacterial small subunit ribosomal RNA", at positions 28 to 507 of the family's 1533-position model. The record is from RNAcentral.